RNAcentral lists this ribosomal RNA (167 nucleotides) under uncultured Saccharomycopsis. RNAcentral's name for it is "partial 26S ribosomal RNA". The record is from RNAcentral. Lineage: Eukaryota; Fungi; Ascomycota; Saccharomycetes; Ascoideales; Saccharomycopsidaceae.
AGUGAGCGGCAAAGCUCAAUUUGAAUCUAGCACCUUCGGUGUUCGAGUUGUAAUUUGAAGAUAGUCUCCUUGAUAGUCCUUUAUCUAUGUUCCUUGGACAGGACGUCAUAGAGGGUGAGAACCCCGUAUGAUUUUGGAUCCUACUCUCUGUGGGAGUCUUUCGAAGA